RNAcentral lists this small nuclear RNA (19 nucleotides) under Arabidopsis thaliana (thale cress). RNAcentral describes it as "snRNA_16226". The record is from RNAcentral. Lineage: Eukaryota; Viridiplantae; Streptophyta; Magnoliopsida; Brassicales; Brassicaceae.
UAUCCAGCGAAACCACAGC